GUGCUUUUUCCGGCAGCUACAGUGUUCCAGUUUUUUCCGGCAGCUCCAGUUUUUAGUUUCCAAUUUUCUAUUCAGUUUCAGCGAGUUUUCAGUUGAUAAUCCAACGAUGUCUUUGGGGCUCGAUGCUUUUAGGUCUAGAAACCCGAGUUCUGGCAGUUCCAGUGUUAUGAUUACCUCAGAACCUUUAAUGGGAGGUUCAAACUACCUAG
This 209-nucleotide long non-coding RNA is filed under the name Nicotiana benthamiana. RNAcentral describes it as "long non-coding RNA (NBEN_LNC000280)". The record is from RNAcentral. Lineage: Eukaryota; Viridiplantae; Streptophyta; Magnoliopsida; Solanales; Solanaceae.